This 312-nucleotide ribosomal RNA is filed under the name Trichoderma reesei. RNAcentral's name for it is "SSU rRNA". It matches the Rfam family "Eukaryotic small subunit ribosomal RNA", at positions 67 to 385 of the family's 1831-position model. The record is from RNAcentral. Lineage: Eukaryota; Fungi; Ascomycota; Sordariomycetes; Hypocreales; Hypocreaceae.
UAGCAUUAUCCGCGAAACUGCGAAUGGCUCAUUAUAUAAGUUAUCGUUUAUUUGAUAAUACUUUACUACUUGGAUAACCGUGGUAAUUCUAGAGCUAAUACUUGCUGUACAUCCCGACUUCGGAAGGGAUGUAUUUAUUAGAUUAAAAACCAAUGCCCCUCGGGGCUCUCUGGUGAAUCAUGAUAACUNNNCGAAUCGACAGGCCUUGUGCCGGCGAUGGCUCAUUCAAAUUUCUUCCCUAUCAACUUUCGAUGUUUGGGUAUUGGCCAAACAUGGUGCCAACGGGUAACGGAGGGUUAAGGCUCGACCCCU